GACGAACGCUGGCGGCGUGCUUAACACAUGCAAGUCGAACGGAAAGGCCCUGCUUUUGUGGGGUGCUCGAGUGGCGAACGGGUGAGUAACAAGUGAGUAACCUGCCCUUGACUUUGGGAUAACUUCAGGAAACUGGGGCUAAUAACGGAUAGGAGCUCCUGCUGCAUGGUGGGGGUUGGAAAGUUUCGGCGGUUGGGGAUGGACUCGCGGCUUAUCAGCUUGUUGGUGGGGUAGUGGCUUACCAAGGCUUUGACGGGUAGCCGGCCUGAGAGGGUGACCGGCCACAUUGGGACUGAGAUACGGCCCAGACUCCUACGGGAGGCAGCAGUGGGGAAUAUUGCACAAUGGGCGGAAGCCUGAUGCAGCAACGCCGCGUGCGGGAUGACGGCCUUCGGGUUGUAAACCGCUUUCGCCUGUGACGAAGCGUAAGUGACGGUAAUGGGUAAAGAAGCACCGGCUAACUACGUG
This 468-nucleotide ribosomal RNA is filed under the name uncultured bacterium. Its description in RNAcentral is "partial 16S ribosomal RNA". It matches the Rfam family "Bacterial small subunit ribosomal RNA", at positions 28 to 507 of the family's 1533-position model. The record is from RNAcentral.